Bombus impatiens (common eastern bumble bee) is the source of this 2774-nucleotide long non-coding RNA. RefSeq lists it as uncharacterized. The record is from RefSeq and is a predicted model, not a curated record. The transcript is spliced from 3 exons. NCBI's taxonomy places the organism in Eukaryota, Metazoa, Arthropoda, Insecta, Hymenoptera, Apidae.
GAAGGUUACUUAUAUUAAUCCGCGGUCGGCGGAGUUCGGCGGAAUCGAUCGAAAAGAACACGAGGGUAAAAUCAGGACGUAGUUUCUUCUUGGAAAAUUUAAUUGACGGUCAACGAGCUGGCGGAAAAUGAACAUCUUUUGCCGAUUUAAUAGACAGAAAGAGAGGCAUCGCGUAAACGCCCAUUCGUCGCCAUUGGUUCGUAACCUUUCGUGUUUGUGACCGCUGGCUUCCUACUGACUACCAACGUGACGCGAAUGUUCGAUACACGAAUAAGCUUCACCUUCUUCGACGAUGCUGCCUCUUUCGUUUUUCGUGCAGUGCGCAUGGGUAUACCUGGAAGGAAGUACGCCGGCAGCCGGAGCAAGUGCGUAAAAGGGGGUGCAUCGGGUGCACAGGAUGCGCCUCGAGCGCAGUGGAAGGGUCGCCACAAGUAUCCAGUGUUGGUGUUGUCCGCGACUUCGAUCGCGCACCAUCAUGAUAUGUACCAGAAAGUACGGGAGAUAGGUUCGAUGAGUACAUCGAUGGAGAUAGCGACAUUGAGCUUUCGUUCGAGAGACGUCGGUUGUUCUAAGCAGAAAUAAAGACAACGCGAUCGUGGUGGUGGUGCUGGUUCGCGAUAUUGGCUCAAUUGCGACGUUUCGUUUUUCAAUAAUUCGGCUUCACCGACGAUUAAAUGGAAGGACCGAGGGUAAAUGAAAAACGCGAUCCAUUAAAUAACGCCCACUCGAACGGUUACCCUUCGCUUGCUGUCCUUUCGAAUCAGUUACGAGGACGCGCGGUGAAGUGCCUGACGCACGAAGAAGUCUUAGCCACGGUAAACGCGGUAUGCGAGCACGGGAGCAGCGAUUAAAGUGGACAGUGAACGAGUCGUCUUGACGAGAGGAAGAAAUACAGUCAUCCGACGACGAGUACGCGUGUAGCAUAUCCGUCUUCUGUAGCCGGCGCAAAGAAUACCAACCAAAGGACGAGGACGAGGAUGAGAACGAGCAGAGGACGGGGGGGAAAAAGAGCGUUCGAAAGAGCUUGUGUGACGUUUGCAGGGGUCAGUCAUAGGGAAGGGGCGCAAGCGCAGUUAUGUUCGUGAGACUCGCGAAGCACAUGGUCGCCCUGACUCCUGUUCCACGGUCCUGUCUCGACUUCCUAUCUUUCCUCUGGGUUUGAACCGUGUAAAUAAUUACUUUGCUUAGUCGCAGCUCUAUUUACAACAGUGUUUGUUUAUCUUAGACGGGCUACCGUGACGAAAGGGACGCCUCGAGGAAUAAUCCUUCGAAUUCCAUUUAGAAAACGCGAUGGCCAAGGAUCGUUGUUUAUUCAAAGUUCGAUUAGAUCGUUGUAUUCUUAGACAAGGUUACGAGGUUUGUAAGUAAACACGUUGUUCGGAACUCAAUGACGAGUAAUCAGUGAAUGACACUUGUUUUGAGAGUGGGGAACGCGCAAAAGGAUCCAUCGGGACUUUGAUCGAAGUGGUUUAUAUUAAGUGUUUGGAGAGAAUGUUCUUCGAAGAAGCGAGAGAAGAGAAAAGGAGCAACAAUCGUUGAAGAGUAGAUGGUCGUUCAGUGCAUAAACCCGAUAGAUGUUGUGACGUUAUAAAUAUAGAGCGCUAAUGGAAACGCACUACGCUGCCCCUUGGCUUCGAGGAAAAAUAAAUAGAGUUAUGGAAUACACCGUCGCUCUCUUUGACCCAAUGUCUUUUCCAGAAGGUUAUCCAGUUAUAAAAAUACUUCAUUCUUGAAAUAAGGGACACUACAGACGUACGAAAAAAAUUCGUGCAAGAAGAGAACAUCUUAAAUUUCCAAAAACCAAGGGAUGCAAUAUUUAUUGCAUAUAUCUAACUUUUGAAAAGUAGAAAGGUCAAAUUAACGGGUGUAUUUUCAAGAAAAUAGAGAGGCAAACUUCGUUUACCCGCCCCCCUCCAAAAAAAAAGAUGAUUCAGCCGAAGAAUCAUGCCGUAGGAGUUAUGGGAAGUCGCAAACUAAACGUCCUUGACCCAGGGCAAACAGUCAUCAAUGAAGUCUCCUUGUGGCGGUACAACUCGUAAAUAAACAUUAUCGUUUCUUAAGAUUUAUGGAUGAACUUUGCGAUAUUGAAAAAAAACCGUAGUGGUGCUGUAGUGAUCUAUUAUUGAACAUUCGCGUGUUGACUGUAAUAGAGUGCAGUGUCCUAAGACCACAAGAUCGGAGUUCAUCGAUCGAAACCAAGGGUGAGUAAACUGAUAUACGCCUGUUGAUCUUCGUAAUCGUUCACCGAAUUGCUAAAUAAUUUUCUUUAAUCUAUUUUUAUUGUUAUAUACGAUACUUCGUUUAUUAUGUAGAUAGGUGACCAUAAUUAGUUUAACUAUCUACAUAGCGACGUUUUAUUCUUCGAGUAACUGUCUGUUACAGCGAGUUGUAUCAAAAAUUCGAAAUUAAUUCACGUAUACGACAUCGCUUAAAACUUCGACCAAUAAAACAAUAAAUACAUUGUAAUGGUAGGUGAAAUCGUUGGUUGAUUGUACGAUAUACGCAUAGAACUCAUUAAACAAGUGAGCUGGUUAGAUAUUACGUCUGUUGCACCACUUAUACCUUUCAUACCACUUAACCCUGACCUACCAUCGGUGGCUUACAGUUUUAUAGUGGUUCGAUCAGAAAUGGACAAUUAAUACCCAUAUAAUUAAUAAUUUCAGCAUACGCACGUACAAUGCCCAUUCAAUCUACUUGCAGCGAUACGAUGUAAUUAUAUAAUAUGGACAGAUAUUAAACAAACAUUCGAUGAGAUUAGAUUUUCUACGCGUGCA